Molecule: transfer RNA, 55 nt
Filed under: Litomosoides sigmodontis
Lineage: Eukaryota; Metazoa; Nematoda; Chromadorea; Rhabditida; Onchocercidae
Description: tRNA-Val
Source: RNAcentral
GGCUUUUUAGUUUAUUUUGAAUUUUCUGUUUACGAUAGGAGGGUGGGAAAGGCUU